AACUCCAACGUCAAGUCCGCGGGCGUCGCCCAGAUCGACGGCCGCCCGGUGCUGCAGCCGGCGGGCAACCGCGUGGCGCCGCCGGAGGGGGCGCGCCCGCUCAAGAAGUCCCUGCACAAGUCGCUCUCCAUGCCGGCCUCCUUCGACAACAAUGCCGCCGCGGCGGCCGCGCGACCCGCGCCCGAGAACACCCGCGCCGCCGCGGCGGCUUCCCUGCUGCCGCCUGCGACGCCGGCCUCGGUCACCGCGAGGGCGACGAAGGCGGCGGCCGUGGCCGCGGAGAAGAGCAGGGUCAAGGCCAGGAAGCCCGGCGCGGUGCUGCCGGUGGUGACGUUCGCAGCGCUGGAGGCGUUCGAGCCCGCGGGGAGCAUCGCGGCGGCGCAGCGGGAGCACGCCGCGCAGGCGCAGGCGCAGCGCAAGAUGCG
RNAcentral lists this long non-coding RNA (425 nucleotides) under Setaria italica (foxtail millet). Its description in RNAcentral is "long non-coding RNA (SITA_LNC004050)". Lineage: Eukaryota; Viridiplantae; Streptophyta; Magnoliopsida; Poales; Poaceae. The record is from RNAcentral.